RNA transcript from Solenopsis invicta (red fire ant), 5957 nucleotides. RefSeq lists it as uncharacterized. Lineage: Eukaryota; Metazoa; Arthropoda; Insecta; Hymenoptera; Formicidae. The record is from RefSeq and is a predicted model, not a curated record. The transcript has 2 exons.
CGGCAUUUUACGCAAAAAUGUUACCACAAUACAAUGCCGUAAAGCUGACCCCGCUAUCAUUUUUUCUUUAACUAGAAAAAUUUCAUAAAGUAGUAAAAUUCGAAAAAACUGUUUCUGCGAUCAUUUAAAAAAUGGAGGGUGAUGGAGAAAAACGGACGACGUAGUCGUUUUCAGCGCAUCAAAAUUCUAUAGAAACGUCAUUUAAAGUUCAAAGAACCCCUUUCCCCCACCACUAAUUUUGUAGACCUGUGAUAUUAUUUAAUAAAUAUUGUCAAAUCGGGGUAUAUAAAAUAAUUAUAAUCUCUGGAAUUAUAGAUUUAAAAGUUUUGUAAAAUUUUUAACAGUGAAGUUAAAUUAUCUUCAUCAAGCGAAGAAAGUUCAUAUGAAACAGACCAUGAGACAGACAAAGUGCAGUCUACAUUUGAAGAAUUAAACGAAAAUAUUUCUUUUAAAGAAAAAAUACGUAAUUGGUCUAUGAAACAUAUUUCAACUUUAAAUAACAAAAUGUUAUCUGAAUUACUAUGUAUUUUGAAAACUGAACACAAUGAAUUUCCACAGACAGCUACAACAUUUCUGCAAACUAAAAAAGCAAAAAAUAAUGUCAAGUUUAUGUUAGGAGCUAAUGGAUCUUUCGGUACUUAUGUUUAUUUCGGUUUGGAAAAAGUUCUUAAAUUGAUGAUAAAUUCCUAAAUAUAUAUGAAAGACUUUAUUGAAAUUUUGGUUAAUAUUGACGGUGUACAAAUUUAUAAAAGUUCAAAACAACAAUUUUGGUCUAUAUUAAUCAUGUUACAUAAUAAAAAGUAUAUUGUCAAACCUCAAGUUGUCGCUAUAUAUCAUGGUGACUCUAAACCAAAAUCACCAACGGAAUUUCUAGAUAAUUUUAUAACAGAAUUAUUAAGUUUAAUGGCCAAUAAAAUUACAAUAGAAAAUAAAUUAUACAGUAUUAAAGUAUUAGGUUUUGUAUGUGAUACACCGGCUAGAGCGUUUAUAAAAUGUGUAAAGUCUCACGUUGAUUUUUACGCAUGCGAACGUUGUACAGUAAAAGGCCAAACCGUUUUUAAGAAUAAACGCAUUUAUGCAAGCAUUACUUGUGAAAAACGCAGUAAACAAUCAUUUGAAACCCGUAAACAACCUGAGCAUCAUCUGAAUAAUGAAAUCUCUCCAUUAUUGAAAAUUCCAGAAUUUGAUCCGAUAAAAUCAGUUGUUUUAGAUUCAAUGCAUCUUUUAUUUCUAGGAGUUACAAAAACUUUAUUAAACAAUAUUGUAUAUGGUGGUCGCAAGAUAGGUGGAAUUGGUCCACGAAAUCGUUUGGUAUUAUGUAAAUUACUUCGCAGUUUUUCUAGUCAAAUUCCUGUAGAAUUUCAAAGAAAAGUUAAUGAUAUUAUGGAUUUAAAAAAUUGGAAAGCUACACAAUUUCGUUUUUUUCUUUUGUAUGGUAGUGCAUUAGUACUUCGUCAUGUUCUGCCUAAUGAUAAAUAUAAGCAUUUUUGUCUACUGUACGUAGCAUGUCGACUAUUAUGCAAUGAUAAUUUUGCGGUAUCAAACGUAGAAAAUAUAAAAAAGUUGUUAAUAUUAUUUUUUCGUUUAUUACCGAGAUUUUAUGGUCCCAAUGUACAAAGUAUUAAUUUCCAUAACUUGAUUCAUAUAGCAGAUGAUGUAACUCACAUGGGUUGUUCACUGACUUCAAUUUCGGCGUUUCCAUUCGAAAAUUUUUUGAUGACUUUAAAAAAACUAGUUCGUACUCCAAACAAUCCUUUAAGUCAAGUUGCAAAUCGUUUAAGAGAAAUUAAUUUAAAUACUGAUAUUAAAAUUCAACGAAUUGUACCAGUAACAGAUUAUGUAAAAACCAAAAUUGUUGAUUUAGAAAAUCAUAUAUUAAAAAAUACAUUUACAAGUGUCACAUGGAAGGGAAUAAUUAUUACUAAUACUUUACCUAAUAAUAUUGUACAACUUAAAAAUGGUGAAAUUAUUCAAAUUAAUAAAAUUUUUUCAUAUAAUUUUUCAAAUAAAGAAAAUAUUGAAUUAAAAGGAUAUUUGUACUAUCAUAAAAGAAAUGUUUUUACGUAUCCUUAUAAAUCAUCUGAUAUCGGCUUAUAGCAAGUAGUUUUAAGCAAACAUCAUCGUACUUUUCAAAUUAAAAAAAUUAAACAUAAGUGCAUACUUUUACAAGUUAAAAAUAAUACGUAUUGCGUACAAUUAUUACAUACUUAAUAUUAAUGCAUAAAAAUAUUGUAAUAAUUAUAUUAUCAUAAUAAAAAUAUUAUAAUAAUUAUAUUUACUACGAUAUAUCUUUAUACUUUAUGUAAAAGGUGUCUCAAAAAGCUCGGAUCCUCUCUUAAGAGCGAAUUCUUUGAAACAUUCUGUAAGAACAAAAUUCUAAUACAAAAAUGUCGAAGGCAUAAUGGUUUUCAAAUUAUUCGCGAUUAAAGUUUACGAAUUACAGAGCUGACAUUUCGCGCGCUCAGGCAUGGUGACAUGACAAGGACCACAAGAAACCGCUAUACAUGUAAGAGAUGAUUUUACCUCUUGAUACUGUAUAAUGGACGCAACUGAUAUUUUCUAAAAUUAUCUAUUUAUAUUACCUAAAUGUGUGUAAAGUUUCAUUAAAAUCGGGAUGUGACAUUUCGAGAGGUUCCCUUAUUAGUAAUAUUUUAAAUAGAUUUUAAUUGAAACGUUUCUUAAAUAAUUCUAAAAAAUUUCGUGUCAUAUGGGCAGUGGAAAAAAAUUUAAUGGCAGCAAAAAUCAAUAAAUUUAAAUGACAGUCGAGCCUUAUCAACGAGUUAUCGUUACGAAAACAGAUGAUAUAGAGUAAAUAUUCCGAAAGUGAGAAGAAAAAAUAUUUAUUUGUGAUAUUUACGAGUUAAAUUUUGUGUAGAAAUAAUAAUGAACAGUUCCUCAUAUCUGUAAGUACAUUUAUAUUUGGUUUGUGUUUUUAUAAAUGACUUUAGUAAUGCAAGAAACGAUCAAUUCACAUGGAGUUUGUUUCGUAAAAAAUAUGCAAAUAAUAGUUGAUACAGAUUACCCACCUUUUACAAUAAUUUUAUGAAUUGGUUGUUUCUUGCGGGGUCAAAUAAAGGUUAAUUAUUAAGUAAUUAAUAACUUAUAUAGAACCGAAUUAGAUGACAAUGCUACGCAUAUUAUCGUGUGGUUUUAUAAUAUUCGGCGUAAAGAUGAAAAAUCGUGUAUAGACCUAGUACCAAGAGAGUGGUUAAUAAAAAUUAAACGUUCAUGGUACUGCAAAUAUCCAUCAAAAUCUGAAUAUGACAAAGUACAGGAGUGGAGUAAAGAACGAAAAAUUCCUGAAUCAACGUGGAAAUAUUAUCCAAUUAUAUUAAUAAAGGAAGCUAGUAAGUAUAGAGGCUAAUGCAGAAUUAAUACAACUUUAAUUAAUAUAACUUUUUUAAUAUUUUACUUUUUACCAUUAUAAAAAAAUAAUAUGUAUGUGUGUGUAUAUUUUGUGUGCAUAUGUCCAUCUAUAUUUAUAUAUUAGGUAAUUUUGACGAAGGACAACGCCGUGUAGCACGCUUCUCAGAAGGGAAUGUUAUAUUAUCAAGUGAACUAUCCGAUGAAAGCGAUGAAAGUACUGAAGAAUGUGAAAAUGACACGGAAGAUAGAUCAGAUGUAUUAGAACUCAGCAACACGGAAACUUUUUCACAUUUAAAAAUUGUAAAAAGAAAAAUAACAGAAAUAGAGGAAAGUAUUCAUUAUAAAUACAUUUAUUCAUUGUUAAAAUCAGUUAAAUUGAAAUUUAUAAAUUUAUAACUGCUAUUUUGCAGAUGAUGUUUCAACCUGUUCAUCGGAUAAUUCACCCAGUAUUUUAAAAAAUAAAAAAAGUUUACCUUCUGCACGUUUAACACUUAAAGAAAAUAUUAAACGUAAAAAAUUUAGUGAAAAAGCAGAUAAAAAUUUAAAUACAGUGCAACAAACAAAAUUAAGCAUGAUACGUAUAGAAAAUAAUGAAUCCAGUGAAGUGGAGAGUGCCUGCUGUGAGCAAAUGAAAGCAUUUUUACAACCAAAGAUGGAUAGUAUCAAAAGAAGUAUUCUUUAUGAUAUCCGAAAAGGAUUUCAAGAAUUACAAAAUAAUUUGUUGUUGAAUUUGCCAAGACAAGAAGAAAUGAAUCCAAUUUCUGCUCUAAGACAAAUUAUAGAAAUCAAAUUACCAACAUCAUUAGAAGAGUUUGAUAAUUUGGAUUCAGUAAUGGACAACGAUGAAAAAAAGAAUGCCUUGGUAAAUAAUUUCUUUCUUUUUUCUUAAAUUAAAAAAAAAAUUUUAAACUUGUACAAGAAAGUACAAUUUUAAAUACAACAUGCUUAUUUUAAAAUUUUAUGACUAUUAAGAGAUACAAGUCAUUCAUGCAAGACUAUUUUUCGAGUUAAUGUUGCACAAAUUAUAUACAAUAUUACCAAACGUGCGACAUCACAUGAGAUGCCAAACGAUUUGCUGGAAUAAUCGUUAUGCGCGAAUGUUGAGAAACGUGAAAUACCAGUAGCAAGAAAUCGCCGGUUCUCGCUAAUAAACCUUUUUUUCCUUCCUUGAUCUUCCUCGUUUAAAAUCUCUUUUUUGAGUGAUAACGUGUUUUGUUUUCACAAAUAUGAGUCAGUAUAAACCUUGUUGUAAUUCAAACAUUCUUUAUGCUUGCUUGUGUAGAAAUUUUUCUAGAUUACUAAAUUUUUAACCUUAAAAUGUUCAAUCGACUCUAAUUGAUUAUACAAGAAGUACAGCAAGUAAUCUAAGUUUUGGCAUUUUUUCUUGAAAUAAAGGUUAAAUGCCAUCACUAUUUACAGAUAAUCUCUUAAAUAAAUAAUAAAUAUUUUUUCUUAAGUAAUUUAUAAUUUUUUUAUUUUUAUAGCGUUCAUUAUUGGAGAAAUAUGUUGAAACGCAUAAAAAGGCUAUACAUGAUGCUUUGUCAUCUAUAAAGUCUAAAAAUGUUCAGAUCCAAUUUACUGCUUUCGGUCGAAAAAAAAGAACAUAAAAAACUAAAUUUCAGUACGACUAAUAUUUAUAAACUUCUUAUGGGUAUGUUAUUUGAGAUUUUAACUUAAUAUUAUUUAUAAUAUUAUUAAUUACGUACAUUAUAUAUACACAGAGUAAACAAUUUUUUUGAAAAAUAAAUUUUAUUGUAGCCAAAUAAAUUUAUUUGGAUUAGUUCAACCCAACUAAUUUUUAAAAAUCAAUAAGCAUGAUUAAUAGUAACUUUACUUUCGUCGAAUAAUAGAUUUCUUAAAUAUAAUAAAAUAAAAUUUUUAUUCAAACAAGUAAUAUUUUGUAUAAAUAUUAUGUAUGUUUCAAUGAAAUAACUUUAUAUUGUUUCAUUGAAAUAACUUUUAGUCAAAUAAAUAAGAAUACUAAAUCUAAAGAAAUCUUUACUCAUCUGUAUACUACUCGUACAUAUAAACAUUACAUAUUUUCCACCAUCUAUUGAUAAAGAGUAUUUUCCAUCAAGCGACACGGUUGAAAUAGUGUAACAAAGUGAAUCAUUAUAUCCUUGUUGUUUGUCAGUAUUAACAAGGAAAUAAUGUAUUACACUCUGUCCUUCCUUGUUUCUUGCUGAAAAACUAUGCCCACAAACUACGACUAUGAAUACGCACACGAUCUGCACAAUUUUUGUUAUGAUAAUCACGUGUUGAUAUAAAAGUACUUAUUAAAGUAUUUUGAAUUAAUUUUUUAAACUCGCGACAAUUAGAUUAAUAUAUAUUAAUAAUAAUAAUAAUAAUAGAUUAAUAUGCAUUAAUUAUUUAAUAGAUAUUCUUGUCAGUAAAUUUGGCAUUAGAGAAGAAAAAAAUAUAAAUUCUUCAAUGAGCCGGUGGUUCUCCGGUGCAAUGGAUCGAUGUGGAGGUCGAAAGGAGAGGGAAAAUGAAUAAAUGAUAAUAAUAAAAAAAAAAAUAAAAUGUUAAAUGUUAAAUGCUAAAUGUUAAAUGUUAAAUUUUUAAUAAAUUUGCUGCACAUUCAAGUAUAA